Non-coding RNA from Aegilops tauschii subsp. strangulata, 680 nucleotides. The record is from RefSeq and is a predicted model, not a curated record. Lineage: Eukaryota; Viridiplantae; Streptophyta; Magnoliopsida; Poales; Poaceae.
ACUCCGGCACAGCCAUCGCGCGAGCCAAGCGAGGAGGACGCUUUGAAUCUGGGACCUGCAGUAUUGAAUAGAGGAAAGUUACAUCUACAGUUGGUCCGCGAGCAUGGCGAGCCGACAACGACGAUGAAAUAAUGCAUUGGCCCAUUGCCUGAUGAAGAAGAUGAGAGAAGUGAAGAUUAUGUACGCUGAAAUAUUACAGAUCAUCGAUGCACAGGGUAACCAUCCUGCCACCACCAGGGAGCUCUUGGUUGCACUGCAAUCAGCGAGGCCUUGUCAACUCGCUGAUGCCACUUAACCUCUAUGGCCUCUCAUUGCUCAAGAUGGAUAGUUUUGUGCAGGUUUGGCCUCAACCACUUCUUCCUGUCCUACUGCUACAUGGACCAUGACACUCAGUUCUAGCAAAACUAUUGUAAAGUUGCAGGCCAGACCUGUGAAAUCCGAGGCUUGUCACAGGAUGGUGUUCAUGGUCUAUAAGCUUUUGAGAUGUUGUCUUGGCUCCUCCUUUACAAACAACAUUUAUGAUGAUAUGCCUCUAAGGGUUGUAGUUAAGAGUUGAUGUUCCAUGCUAUUCUUUGUUCCUUGUGCUGGUAAUUGAGAGGAGGGAGAGGGAGAGAGAGAUGGAGGGACAUCAAAGAGGAGUGUGGUAACCACAUAGGAAGACACGGUUGUGUUGCAGCCAG